Molecule: transfer RNA, 64 nt
Filed under: Pachydactylus otaviensis
Lineage: Eukaryota; Metazoa; Chordata; Lepidosauria; Squamata; Gekkonidae
Description: tRNA-Cys
Source: RNAcentral
GGCCCAGAGGUAUAAGCACACCGAAUUGCAAGCUCGGAGACGCGCCCAUGACGCGCCUGGGCUU